Molecule: ribosomal RNA, 500 nt
Filed under: uncultured bacterium
Lineage: Bacteria
Description: partial 16S ribosomal RNA
Rfam family: Bacterial small subunit ribosomal RNA
Source: RNAcentral
AUUGAACGCUGGCGGAAUGCUUUACACUUGCAAGUCGAACGGCAGCACGGACUUCGGUCUGGUGGCGAGUGGCGAACGGGUGAGUAAUGUAUCGGAACGUGCCCAGUCGUGGGGGAUAACGUAGUGAAAAUUACGCUAAUACCGCAUACGAUCUAUGAAUGAAAGCGGGGGAUCGCAAGACCUCGCGCGAUUGGAGCGGCCGAUAUCAGAUUAGGUAGUUGGUGGGGUAAAGGCCCACCAAGCCAACGAUCUGUAGCUGGUCUGAGAGGACGACCAGCCACACUGGAACUGAGACACGGUCCAGACUCCUACGGGAGGCAGCAGUGGGGAAUUUUGGACAAUGGGCGAAAGCCUGAUCCAGCCAUUCCGCGUGCAGGAUGAAGGCCCUCGGGUUGUAAUCUGCUUUUGUACAGAACGAAAAGGUUUCUACUAAUACUAGGAGCUCAUGACGGUACUGUAAGAAUAAGCACCGGCUAACUACGUGCCAGCAGCCGCCGUAA